Molecule: transfer RNA, 82 nt
Filed under: Volvox carteri f. nagariensis
Lineage: Eukaryota; Viridiplantae; Chlorophyta; Chlorophyceae; Chlamydomonadales; Volvocaceae
Description: tRNA-Ser (GCT) (tRNA-Ser-GCT-8-1)
Rfam family: tRNA
About the family: Transfer RNA (tRNA) molecules are approximately 80 nucleotides in length. Their secondary structure includes four short double-helical elements and three loops (D, anti-codon, and T loops). Further hydrogen bonds mediate the characteristic L-shaped molecular structure. tRNAs have two regions of fundamental functional importance: the anti-codon, which is responsible for specific mRNA codon recognition, and the 3' end, to which the tRNAs corresponding amino acid is attached (by aminoacyl-tRNA synthetases). tRNAs cope with the degeneracy of the genetic code in two manners: having more than one tRNA (with a specific anti-codon) for a particular amino acid; and 'wobble' base-pairing, i.e. permitting non-standard base-pairing at the 3rd anti-codon position.
Source: RNAcentral
GCACCUGUGGCCGAGUGGACAAGGCGCCUCCCUGCUAAGGCGGUGGGGUUUCCCCGCGUACGUUCGAAUCGCAUUGGGUGCG